This 55-nucleotide transfer RNA is filed under the name Boaedon fuliginosus (brown house snake). RNAcentral describes it as "tRNA-Ser". The record is from RNAcentral. Lineage: Eukaryota; Metazoa; Chordata; Lepidosauria; Squamata; Lamprophiidae.
CGAGGGGCCUAAAAGACCUGCUAACUCUUUAAUCUGGAACUAACAUCCAACCCCC